UACGAAGGAUCCAAGCGUUAUCCGGAUUCAUUGGGUUUAAAGGGUGCGUAGGCGGUUUUGUAAGUCAGUGGUGAAAUCUCCCAGCUUAACUGGGAAACUGCCAUUGAUACUGCAGAACUAGAGUACAGAUGACGUUGGCGGAAUGUGUCAUGUAGCGGUGAAAUGCAUAGAUAUGACACAGAACACCGAUUGCGAAGGCAGCUGACGAAACUGCAACUGACGCUGAUGCACGAAAGUGCGGGGAUCAAACAGGAUUAGAAACCCUGGUAGUCC
RNAcentral lists this ribosomal RNA (273 nucleotides) under uncultured bacterium. RNAcentral's name for it is "partial 16S ribosomal RNA". It matches the Rfam family "Bacterial small subunit ribosomal RNA", at positions 524 to 796 of the family's 1533-position model. The record is from RNAcentral.